CGGGUGAGUAACACGUAGAUAACCUACCUAUAAGACUGGGAUAACUUCGGGAAACCGGAGCUAAUACCGGAUAAUAUAUUGAACCGCAUGGUUCAAUAGUGAAAGACGGUUUUGCUGUCACUUAUAGAUGGAUCCGCGCCGCAUUAGCUAGUUGGUAAGGUAACGGCUUACCAAGGCAACGAUGCGUAGCCGACCUGAGAGGGUGAUCGGCCACACUGGAGCUGAGACACGGUCCAG
RNAcentral lists this ribosomal RNA (237 nucleotides) under uncultured Staphylococcus sp. Its description in RNAcentral is "partial 16S ribosomal RNA". It matches the Rfam family "Bacterial small subunit ribosomal RNA", at positions 103 to 334 of the family's 1533-position model. The record is from RNAcentral. Lineage: Bacteria; Bacillati; Bacillota; Bacilli; Caryophanales; Staphylococcaceae.